This 417-nucleotide long non-coding RNA is filed under the name Helianthus annuus (common sunflower). The record is from RNAcentral. Lineage: Eukaryota; Viridiplantae; Streptophyta; Magnoliopsida; Asterales; Asteraceae.
CUCAUUUCUCUUCUUCUUUACUCUAUACGUUGGUGUUAUAACCAAUAAUCACCAAAGCGAUGUUCUGUCCGAUUGAUUCAGGAACCAACGAACGAAUACCAAAGUGUUGUACUUUGUGAAUUUCGGUAAACGGAAUCCAAAGUACUAUACUUUUGUUAUACUUUGUGAAAUUCGUUAAGGUUCGAAUCUCGUGAUCAUCGUUAGGUUUGAUUUGGGUUUUACACAAAUACGUAUUCCAUUCUGUUAAACUAUAUGUUUAACCAUCAGAAUACUCCCAACUAUACGCUUACAAUCAAAAUGGAUGCUUAAUCAUCAGAAGAUCCAAACUAAUAAAGUAUAUGCUUAAUUAUCAGAAGGAGUAGAAUCAAGAAGCUUGUUAAAUCAAUACUGCAUGCUUAUACUGUGAGUCAUUCUCUU